CUUAGUUGCUCUGCGGCCUGUGGGAUCUUCCUGGAGCAGGGAUCGAAUCCGUGUCCCCUGCAUUGGCAGGCAGAUUCUUAACCACUGCACCACCAGGGAAGUCCCUGGCCUGGUUUUAAGAGGGAGGGAACUGAGGCUCAGAGUGACUUCCCCAAGGCCACCCAGAGCAGUCAAUGACUGGUCAAUCCGUGAUUUCAUUUUGUCCUCCCACAGCCUUUAUUUUAUUUUAUUUUACUUUUAUUUUUUUAAGCAUGUAUUUUCUUUCUUAUUUUUUUUUUUUUAAGUUCUUUAAUUUUUUGGCUGUGCCACAUAGCAUGUGGGAUCUUAGUUCACCAACCAGGGAUCGAAUCUGCACCCCCUGCAUUGGAAGCAUGGAAUCUUAACCACAGGACCACCAGGGAAGUCCCUCUCCCACAGACUUUAGAGAAGGCCUCGCUUCCCUGCUUUGAGGGCUGGGCAGGGACACCGCAGGACGCGGGCGGGGCAUGUGUCGGCACCUUGCCCUCGGGCCCAGCCAGGAAGGGGACGGAGGGCACCAUUGUCUCAAGAAGAGGACAGCCAGAAGGCCAUGUGAAGACACAGAAGGAGGAGGCCGUGUGACAGCAGAGGCAGAGGUUGGAGGGAUGUGCCUGAGAGCUGAGAAACACCAGUACCCAAAGGCGUACACAGGGCAGAGCCUUCCCUCUGAGUGCCGUCAGAGGUAGCAUGGCCCUGCCGACACCUUGACUUUGGACGUCUGGCCUCCAGAGCCGUGAACCGUCCUGGAAGGCAGCCAGCCUGGUGUUUGGAUCUGCUGUCGCUGGUCUGGAUGCUCCCAGGGCCUGGGACUCGGACUCCAUCCAGGCCUCUCGUCCAGCAUCCCUCAAAGGCCUGUGUCCCUGCUCAACCGUGCUUUGUACAUCUGUUUGCUUCUGUAGGGACCACCUCCCCACAAGAGGCCAGCUCCAGGAGGACGGGCUGCUGGCUGC
Hippopotamus amphibius kiboko is the source of this 968-nucleotide long non-coding RNA. RefSeq lists it as uncharacterized. NCBI's taxonomy places the organism in Eukaryota, Metazoa, Chordata, Mammalia, Artiodactyla, Hippopotamidae. The record is from RefSeq and is a predicted model, not a curated record. The transcript is spliced from 4 exons.